This 458-nucleotide ribosomal RNA is filed under the name uncultured bacterium. RNAcentral's name for it is "partial 16S ribosomal RNA". It matches the Rfam family "Bacterial small subunit ribosomal RNA", at positions 338 to 795 of the family's 1533-position model. The record is from RNAcentral.
CCUACGGGAGGCAGCAGUGGGGAAUAUUGCACAAUGGGGGAAACCCUGAUCCAGCGACGCCGCGUGAGUGAAGAAGUAUUUCGGUACGUAAAGCUCUAUCAGCAGGGAAGAAAUACUGACCUUACGGUUAGCAGACGUUAGCUGACUACGAAGCCGCAGCUAACUACGUGCGAGCAGCCGCGGCAAUACGUAGGGGGAAAGCGUUAUCCAGGUUCACUGGGUGUAAAGGGAGCGUAGACGGUGCGCCAAGUCUGAAGUGAAAGGCCGCGGCUCAACUGCGGAACUGCUGUGGAAACUGGCGUACUAGAGUGCGGGAGAGGUAAGCGGAAUUCCUAGUGUAGCGGUGAAAUGCGUAGAUAUUAGGAGGAACACCAGUGGCGAAGGCGGCUUACUGGACCGUAACUGACGUUGAGGCUCGAAAGCGUGGGGAGCAAACAGGAUUAGAUACCCCAGUAGUC